RNAcentral lists this long non-coding RNA (291 nucleotides) under Nicotiana benthamiana. RNAcentral describes it as "long non-coding RNA (NBEN_LNC028593)". The record is from RNAcentral. Lineage: Eukaryota; Viridiplantae; Streptophyta; Magnoliopsida; Solanales; Solanaceae.
UUCCUUCAAAAUCUCAUCAACAGCUAGAGAAACAAGAAGAGCACAAUUGACCAAAAAAAAAAACAAACUCCACUGCAUUACAUGCACAAAGAGAACUAGUAAUCUGACACUCACACAUAAACAGUCAGACGACGAAUAAGUUAAUGAUUUGUUAUUAUUCCUUGUUUGGUUUCAUCGUGAUUGCAAAGUGCGCAAUCCCAGAAGCUUCUAGCAGCACAAUCACCAAUAACUAUUCAGAAGGAAUCAAGCACAUAGCAACAACGAUCCAAAACAAACUACAGAAUCACCAGC